RNAcentral lists this ribosomal RNA (1621 nucleotides) under Escherichia coli. RNAcentral describes it as "partial 23S ribosomal RNA". It matches the Rfam family "Bacterial large subunit ribosomal RNA", at positions 229 to 1874 of the family's 2925-position model. Lineage: Bacteria; Pseudomonadati; Pseudomonadota; Gammaproteobacteria; Enterobacterales; Enterobacteriaceae. The record is from RNAcentral.
CCGAGAUUCCCCCAGUAGCGGCGAGCGAACGGGGAGGAGCCCAGAGCCUGAAUCAGUGUGUGUGUUAGUGGAAGCGUCUGGAAAGGCGCGCGAUACAGGGUGACAGCCCCGUACACAAAAAUGCACAUGCUGUGAGCUCGAUGAGUAGGGCGGGACACGUGGUAUCCUGUCUGAAUAUGGGGGGACCAUCCUCCAAGGCUAAAUACUCCUGACUGACCGAUAGUGAACCAGUACCGUGAGGGAAAGGCGAAAAGAACCCCGGCGAGGGGAGUGAAAAAGAACCUGAAACCGUGUACGUACAAGCAGUGGGAGCACGCUUAGGCGUGUGACUGCGUACCUUUUGUAUAAUGGGUCAGCGACUUAUAUUCUGUAGCAAGGUUAACCGAAUAGGGGAGCCGAAGGGAAACCGAGUCUUAACUGGGCGUUAAGUUGCAGGGUAUAGACCCGAAACCCGGUGAUCUAGCCAUGGGCAGGUUGAAGGUUGGGUAACACUAACUGGAGGACCGAACCGACUAAUGUUGAAAAAUUAGCGGAUGACUUGUGGCUGGGGGUGAAAGGCCAAUCAAACCGGGAGAUAGCUGGUUCUCCCCGAAAGCUAUUUAGGUAGCGCCUCGUGAAUUCAUCUCCGGGGGUAGAGCACUGUUUCGGCAAGGGGGUCAUCCCGACUUACCAACCCGAUGCAAACUGCGAAUACCGGAGAAUGUUAUCACGGGAGACACACGGCGGGUGCUAACGUCCGUCGUGAAGAGGGAAACAACCCAGACCGCCAGCUAAGGUCCCAAAGUCAUGGUUAAGUGGGAAACGAUGUGGGAAGGCCCAGACAGCCAGGAUGUUGGCUUAGAAGCAGCCAUCAUUUAAAGAAAGCGUAAUAGCUCACUGGUCGAGUCGGCCUGCGCGGAAGAUGUAACGGGGCUAAACCAUGCACCGAAGCUGCGGCAGCGACGCUUAUGCGUUGUUGGGUAGGGGAGCGUUCUGUAAGCCUGUGAAGGUGUGCUGUGAGGCAUGCUGGAGGUAUCAGAAGUGCGAAUGCUGACAUAAGUAACGAUAAAGCGGGUGAAAAGCCCGCUCGCCGGAAGACCAAGGGUUCCUGUCCAACGUUAAUCGGGGCAGGGUGAGUCGACCCCUAAGGCGAGGCCGAAAGGCGUAGUCGAUGGGAAACAGGUUAAUAUUCCUGUACUUGGUGUUACUGCGAAGGGGGGACGGAGAAGGCUAUGUUGGCCGGGCGACGGUUGUCCCGGUUUAAGCGUGUAGGCUGGUUUUCCAGGCAAAUCCGGAAAAUCAAGGCUGAGGCGUGAUGACGAGGCACUACGGUGCUGAAGCAACAAAUGCCCUGCUUCCAGGAAAAGCCUCUAAGCAUCAGGUAACAUCAAAUCGUACCCCAAACCGACACAGGUGGUCAGGUAGAGAAUACCAAGGCGCUUGAGAGAACUCGGGUGAAGGAACUAGGCAAAAUGGUGCCGUAACUUCGGGAGAAGGCACGCUGAUAUGUAGGUGAGGUCCCUCGCGGAUGGAGCUGAAAUCAGUCGAAGAUACCAGCUGGCUGCAACUGUUUAUUAAAAACACAGCACUGUGCAAACACGAAAGUGGACGUAUACGGUGUGACGCCUGCCCGGUGCCGGAA